This is a long non-coding RNA of Suricata suricatta (meerkat), 250 nucleotides long. RefSeq lists it as uncharacterized. The transcript is spliced from 3 exons. The record is from RefSeq and is a predicted model, not a curated record. Lineage: Eukaryota; Metazoa; Chordata; Mammalia; Carnivora; Herpestidae.
GUGAACCGAACAGGACGGUUGUACGACUGUGCAGCUGCCACUGGCCUGUGUCAACCCAUAUCACUGCACACACCACCAGAGGCCAUGAACAUGUCCCUGGGCCUGUCCCUAGCCGCCUCCACCAAUCGCUCCUGGCUGCUGGCCUGCGGCCCAACCGUGCACAGAGCCUGUGGGGAGAAUAUGUAUGCAGAAGGCUUCUGCUUCCUGUUGGACUCCCACCUGCAGACCAUUAGGACGAUGCCUGCUGCCC